This 1089-nucleotide unclassified non-coding RNA is filed under the name Hevea brasiliensis (rubber tree). The record is from RNAcentral. Lineage: Eukaryota; Viridiplantae; Streptophyta; Magnoliopsida; Malpighiales; Euphorbiaceae.
AUCAAAGAAGCAGAACUCUAGCAUUUUCUCCUUGUCUGAGAAAGAGACUGGUGCCUUUCAAAAUGCACUUGACGUCCCCAAGCAGAAGAGUACAUCUAAAGCCUCAGGGAAAGUGCAAACCAGUGGCAGGAAGGCGCUUUCUGACAUUUCAAAUUCUGGGAAGCCAAACCGGAAUGAGGAAUCAAAGAAGAACUGCAAUGCAAAGUUAAGUGUUGUGGCAGAGGAGUCAAUCGAUGCCAAUGCAAUUGCAGAGGAAACGUUUCUGCACAAUCAUCAAGAAUGUAUCAAAGCACAAGCAAGAUCUAUGGGCUUGGAUCAAUUUCUAGAGACAAUUGGACUCGACAAUGGUAAACAAAAGUUGAAUCUUUUCUUUAUUUGGAAUUAUUCUGUAUCUUUUGUUCUUGCCUACUGAAGGAACACGUGUUUAUGAUUUUCUUCACCUUGUAAAUUAAUUAAUUCACAUAUUAUUUUCUUGUCUAGUUUUUUCCAAACGGCAGGCAAAUCAUAUGUCAAUUAAGGUGAAGGUCCAUCUGAUGUUUUCCUCUCAAAUCCUAUGUCAAUUAAGUUUUGUUGGGGAAUAAACUUUUGUUUCAUGGAUACGUAGUUUAUGUUUCAGGCUCAGAGUCCCCAAAGGCACUUGAAAAUGGAAGAGAUGAAGGAGCAGCUGUUUGAAGAUGGAUCCUGGAUACACAAUAUGUCUAGCAAACUUGAUUCUCCGCCUGCUUGCAGUACUCCAAAAUCGGCAAGGCAUUAUAUGCGUCUUGACUACAACUUCAAGUUGUUAGAAUCCCCAUAAAGGCGUAGAUGCCAAAGCAUUGACUUCCUUAUCAUCAAUGCUAGUCUGGAUAGGUGGUAAUUUUGCUGAAGUUAUGUGAUGUCAAUUUUUUUUUCUUUUGCAUUCUCCUUUUGGAAUGGGGAGAAAAUAUGCCUGACAAGGGCGGUAUACUGUUGUAGAAUAUUGCAGCGGUAGCGUGAGAGAAUUCUUUGGAGUUAAAACAAUGCCUGUUCCUUUUUUUGUUUUGUAUUUUGACUAAGCUUCAUAGAUAGGUAUGAUCAUUAAUUUAUUUGCUGCUAAAGUUAAGUUGUUUG